AUUUGGUCUAACCUGCCCAAUGAGGAUUUAAAUGGCUGCGGUAAGCUGACCGUACAAAGGUAGCAUAAUCAUUAGUUUUUUAAUUGAAAGCUGGAAUGAAGGGUUUAAUGAGAAGAGGACUGUCUCUGUAAAAAUUUAAUUGAAUUUUACUUUUAAGUGAAAAGGCUUAAAUGUUAAUGGAAGACGAGAAGACCCUAUAGAGUUUUAUAGUUUUUGUUUUUUAGAAAUUUUUAAGUAUAAAAAGUUUUUACUAGGCAGUAUUAUUUUGUUGGGGUGAUAGAAAAAUUAAACAAACUUUUUUUAAAAGACAAUCACUAAUGUGUGUAAGUGUGAUCCUUUGUUUAGAUGAAAAGAAUAAAUUACCUUAGGGAUAACAGCGUAAUCUUUUUUAGAGUUCUUAUCGAAAAGAAGGAUUGCGACCUCGAUGUUGGAUUAAAAUUAAUUUUUGGUGUAGAAGCUGGAAAAUUAGGUCUGUUCGACCUUUGAAAUUUUACAUGAUCUGAGUUUAAACCGGUGUGAG
Molecule: ribosomal RNA, 520 nt
Filed under: Trigonopterus sp. 951 AR-2022a
Lineage: Eukaryota; Metazoa; Arthropoda; Insecta; Coleoptera; Curculionidae
Description: partial large subunit ribosomal RNA
Rfam family: Bacterial large subunit ribosomal RNA
Source: RNAcentral